This 391-nucleotide long non-coding RNA is filed under the name Gallus gallus (chicken). The record is from RNAcentral. Lineage: Eukaryota; Metazoa; Chordata; Aves; Galliformes; Phasianidae.
GUCCAUAUAUGAGCUGGUUGUAUGCAUGUUUCCUGGUAAUCUAAGCAGCAGUUUCCAAGCUUAACACAAUCUCUGUCACAACGACAGCUUCCAAAGGUCCUUUCAAAGCAACGACCUUUGCAGGUUUUCACAUCUUUUGAACAGCUAGGCUUCAGGCCAAAUAUACAUCCUAGGAUUGUCGUUAACACGCAGACACAGAGUACCAGGGAGAGCACUUUGUAGGUGUUGGGGUCCUUGCUUUUGCCGCCCGGGGCUUUCUCCGGCUCCUCGGCCACCUCCAAGGCCGGCAGCAUAGGCACGGCUGCAGCCUGCAGCUCGCCAUCGGCCGCCCCUCUCCCGCCGAGGCCCUCCUGACGGCCGUUGCCUGCAGCCUUCUCCCCGUUGCCCUGCA